CAGUUUCCCCUCACAACAAUUUGCAUCAAACCUCUUGUCUGAGAAAUCACCCACAGCAUUGGCCAAAUCACUGCGGAAAUCCGGACUUCUUCAUGCACGUUUUUGACCUAACAACAAUCACUGCGAAAUAGCGCAGACCGUGUUUGACUUACGCUGGCCGCAUACGCAUUAAGACCUAUUUUCGCAAGACGCGACUAUAAGUGUGAUUUGGUUGUGUUGAAAGAACACUGUGCAUGUAUGAACUAUUUACAUCUCAUUGCGAUGGCGAUAUAAUAAAUUCAUAAUAAGCCUUGUGAGGCCACAUAUGA
Molecule: long non-coding RNA, 308 nt
Organism: Dreissena polymorpha
Lineage: Eukaryota; Metazoa; Mollusca; Bivalvia; Myida; Dreissenidae
Exons: 2
Source: RefSeq, a predicted model, not a curated record